This 198-nucleotide ribosomal RNA is filed under the name uncultured bacterium. RNAcentral's name for it is "partial 16S ribosomal RNA". It matches the Rfam family "Bacterial small subunit ribosomal RNA", at positions 326 to 539 of the family's 1533-position model. The record is from RNAcentral.
ACGCUCGACACCUACGGGAUGCAGCAGUGGGGAAUAUUGCACAAUGGGGGAAACCCCGAUGCAGCGACGCCGCGUGAAGGAAGAAGUAUUUCGGUAUGUAAACUUCUAUCAGCAGGGAAGAAAAUGACGGUACCUGACUAAGAAGCCCCGGCUAACUACGUGCCAACAGCCGCGGUAAUCUGAGCGGGCUGGCAAGGC